Molecule: transfer RNA, 56 nt
Filed under: Dehalococcoidia bacterium
Lineage: Bacteria; Bacillati; Chloroflexota; Dehalococcoidia
Description: tRNA-Leu
Rfam family: tRNA
About the family: Transfer RNA (tRNA) molecules are approximately 80 nucleotides in length. Their secondary structure includes four short double-helical elements and three loops (D, anti-codon, and T loops).
Source: RNAcentral
AGAGCAGCUGUUUCGUAAACAGCAGGUCGGCAGUUCAAUCCUGCCCGUUGGCUCCA